RNAcentral lists this long non-coding RNA (350 nucleotides) under Physcomitrium patens. RNAcentral describes it as "long non-coding RNA (PPAT_LNC010128)". Lineage: Eukaryota; Viridiplantae; Streptophyta; Bryopsida; Funariales; Funariaceae. The record is from RNAcentral.
GUAAGUAUAUCGUUUUGUUGCUAGUUAUGGGUGAAGCCAUAUCUUGAGUUUCUGGACGAAUUUUUGGCUCAAAAUUUCCACAAGUGUGUGUAAUUGAGUUAAGAAGCUUUAGAUCAAAGUUUCAUAGUAUUUAAAUAAUUACUUUGUGAGAUAUAAAGGAAGUUGUACAUGGGUGUAAAAAAGCUAGGGUUUGAAGCUACAGUUAGGGUUUUCAAGGUAUCACAAGAUCCAAGACGAAUUUACAAUUGAAUUUUGAUGUGGUAUUUGCUAAAGAUAUAUCAGUACUCCAUGUAAAAUUUGGAGUUGUUUAGACGGUUAGAUCGUAAGUUAUGAGCUGUUGAACUUCGGAA